AUCAAAGCGUCGUCGUUCGCUCUUGCAGCUUUACACCUCUUCUUAGAGAGGAUGCACAGACAUCUUUCUGCUUUCCUCAGGGGAAGUAGGGGCUUUCAGAAGCCCGUCGUGUGAACGCUCUCAGGGGGCAGCCAGACCCCCAGUGCCCCGCAGACCGCCGUGCUGCGGGCUCGCUCGGAGAGGCGCCCUCCGCAGCCGCGGCGCAGCUCCCAGAGGGCCUCCCGCCUCGUUAGCACAACUCAAUAGGUAACGGCGCUGAUAAAAAACAUCAGGGUUUGGGAUGAUGAAUAACUCCCCGCCGGUGCCUCGAGUGGCAGCCACCUGACGUCCUUUGGGAAAGAACAAACUGCGGUGCUGUGGUCUUGUUACUCCGACACGUGCCCCGGGUAGGCGCCCGAAGAUGCCUGCAAACCCCGGCUUCCCAAAACUGGCUCUGUGAAGAGCAGUCGGUGUACCAGCCCUUACUGUAAAGGUCAUGAUCUUCUUACCUUUCCCGUGAGUUCACCUAAACUUGCCCCAAACCACUUUCUCUGGAGCAUACAAGAGUGUUUCUAUUAAAACGGUUCUAGGUCCGGAUUAAAACAUUUCAACUUUGCACCUGCUUGCAGGUUGGAUCAUCCCAACUAUAUUUGAAACACGGGGAAGGAAUUGUGGAACUCAUUGUGCACACAGCUGUGGUGUGCAGAUGGGAAAGCGAAUGGAGAGGCACAGCUCCCUCCUUCCGAUGUGCUGGAAAAAGAGUGCUGGUGCAGAACAUCCUCUUCUGGCAAACAGCUAAGCUCGGAGGUCGAGGUCUUCUUCCAGGGAAAGGGAGGAUGAAUGUUUUGUUGCACCAGGAGCCGUUUUUGUUUUAAAACAGGAGCUGGGGCU
Molecule: long non-coding RNA, 870 nt
Organism: Calypte anna (Anna's hummingbird)
Lineage: Eukaryota; Metazoa; Chordata; Aves; Apodiformes; Trochilidae
Exons: 2
Source: RefSeq, a predicted model, not a curated record